Long non-coding RNA from Panicum virgatum (switchgrass), 2114 nucleotides. RefSeq lists it as uncharacterized. The transcript is spliced from 8 exons. The record is from RefSeq and is a predicted model, not a curated record. NCBI's taxonomy places the organism in Eukaryota, Viridiplantae, Streptophyta, Magnoliopsida, Poales, Poaceae.
AAGUGGGGCCCAUGGCCAUGCCCCACACACUGGAUUUCACUCACGGUUCACCUUCCACCACAGAUCCGAUCUUCGUUCUUAUCCUAUCCUUGCUGCUAUGAGCAGAAACAUUUUUCUUCACUCCACGCUCUCAAGCUCAUAUCGUCUCCCAUCCCAACCAUUAAUGGAGCAUCCGGAGCAGAUGCAAGUGCGUGGAGCCUCGAAUCAAACUGCCCUUCUCCGACCUAGCACGGAUCAUAUGUGGUCAGCAAGUAUUGAGAUUUGGGGACUGAUGCAGGGAAUUGUGCACGAAAAAGAAGAUGAACAGCAUAAACGUGAUUUUUUUUCUCUCUAUAACUGGAUACGCUUAUUCCCAUUUCCUCCCAAAGUUUCUUGUCGCUUCAUUUUUUUCCACCAAACAGAAGCUUCAAAUUCAGCUCGCCCAGAACAUGGAUUCUCCACUUAUCCUCAGAGAUUAACUCUUCCAAUUUUUUGAUCAGUGGACCAACUCCGCUCCCGCCAUCCUAAAAUAUUUUUCGCUGACUUGCGCGCGCCACCCAGCAAAUAUGGCGGGCUUGGACCCAUAAAGUAAAAACUAACACUGCACGUCAUCCUAUAAUCUAGCUCACGCCGCCGCAUCCUUCCUCCUCCCAUUACGAACCCAGCCUCCCUCCGUUCUCCAAUCGAAUCCCGCCGCCGUACACCUGACGCCAGGUGACCCGACUCUGUUGCACAUUGGGGGCACCGUGGCUGCUCAAUGUUGUCGUACGCGUGCCGAGGAUCUGGUCGGUGCUCCUUCCAUCACCGCCAUUGCAGAUUAGAACGGGCCAAAGUCCCUCCAACUCAGGAUAGGAUGGCAAACCACCGUAGUUGGAUGUACACUGGGCGUAGGAAUCGGGAUGAGAUUAGUGAGGAGUGGAUGCAGAAAACCACAGGCAUGUUCGCAAAGUUACAUCAGUAGAAGUGAGGCAUGCAAGAUGUACCCCCCAGUGCAGCAGUACAUGCAGGCAAUUCCUUAUUGGUUUGCAACGUGCCCAAACGCAUGGCGGAUGCUCGCAGAGAUGUGGAACACCCCUGAAUGGAUAGCUAAAUCAAGAGCAGGCAGGGCACGGAAGGAGAAGAAACUUCGAAUCCAUCGCCAAGGAAGUGCUUCUGCUGCUAGGUACCAAAGAAAUAUGGAGAAGAAGUUGAAGAGGCCAGUUCCUGAAAUUGAGGCCUACCUAAUGGCAAGAACAGAAGAGGGGAAAGAUUAUGCUGAUAUUGAUGCUCAUGAUAAUGUUAUGGCAUAUGCAGAAGCUUGUGAAGCAUUGCAUGGUCCUGACUUCGAAUGGGACAAAUAACCCAUUGAUGGUGUAGCUGCAUACAAGACGGGGCAUGGCAAGAAGCAUGGUCGUUAUCUAGUCGGAGAUGGCAUGGUCAGCACACCAACAGUGCUACGUGAGGUGCGAGUAUCCAGCACUGCAGGCGAGCCAACAGACCAACCACCACCACAACAACAAAGACGUCGACUUAAUCCUGAAGAAGCGUAGCAGAUUGAGCAGCACAUGUAUGAAGAGAUGGAGCGAUGGCGGCAGCAGGAGCAUGAGGUGAUGGAGCGGAAGCUGCAGCAGGAGCGCGAGGAGAUGGAGCGGAAGCAGCAGCAGGAGCGUGAGGACAUGGAGCGGAAGAUGCAGCAGAAGCACGCUCAGAUGGAACAAAAGCUACAACAGGAACGUGAGGCGUGGGAGUCUGAGAUACAACCGGAGAGGGAGUACUAUAAAACUGUCAUAUCUGCCAUUACAGAACGCCUACAGAUGGACCUUCCUCCACCUCCACAUCCUGGACAUGCAAUAUUUUCUCAUCUGUCUACAUGAAACUUGGGCCAUGCCUCAAAUGCUCCAAGUAUGGUAGCAAGAGAGAUUGGUUCAUCAGAUGCAAUGGUUAGCAUGGCAAUUCUAGGAUUUACCUCAUAAUUUUCUUUCUUGGCAGCAAUGGUUUUGUUGAAUAAUGUCAGUAUGUUCAACAAACCGUUUCUUUGUUUUGUAUAUUUGUAUAUAUGAACCAUCUAUUCAAGUACUAGUUAUCCAGACUUAAGCCUAUGCAUGUACUGUUUCAGUGACCGCUGCCAUUAAAGUAAAGUUGGAUUUGAUCAUCUA